RNAcentral lists this long non-coding RNA (317 nucleotides) under Salmo salar (Atlantic salmon). Its description in RNAcentral is "lncRNA (ENSSSAG00000100041.1)". Lineage: Eukaryota; Metazoa; Chordata; Actinopteri; Salmoniformes; Salmonidae. The record is from RNAcentral.
GGAGUAGAACACCUGUUUAGGAGAGGUGCUGGCUAGCGGAGUAGAACACCUGUUUAGGCGAGGUGCUGGCUAGCGGAGUAGAACACCUGUUUAGGAGAGGUGCUGGCUAACGGAGUAGAACACCUGUUUAGGAGAUGUGCUGGCUAGAGGAGUAGAACACCUGUUUAGGAGAGGUGCUGGCUAGAGGAGUAGAACACCUGUUUAGGCGAGGUGCUGGCUAGCGGAGUAGAACACCUGUUUAGGCGAGGUGCUGGCUAGAGGAGUAGAACACCUGUUUAGGCGAGGUGCUGGCUAGCGGAGUAGAACACCUUUUUAGG